UGGUUUCUAAGGGGAGGGUGAGGGGGUCCCCAUUCCGCCACUUAAGUGUGCGGCGAGUAUAUUUACUUAAUUAUGUAGUUAAAUAGUUAGUUUAAAAGAUAGUCAAACGGUUAUAGUUAAUUAGUUAGCUAGGUCGUUAGAUGGUUAAUUACUAAAAGUUAGUCAGUUAGGUAGGAAGGCAGAUAGUUAAGUAAUUAGUUUAAUGAUAGUCAAACAGCUAGAUAGAGAGUUAGCUGGUUAGAUUGAUAGUUAGAUAGUGGAUCAUUCUUUUUUCAGUAUUUUGUGUUUUUAUAUUUUUUUGCUGCUGUGUGUUGAUCUUGGUGUUCUGUUUGUAUACUGUAAUUUUUAAUGUCCUGUUUUUUUACAACAUCCUUUUUUGGUGUCUUAUUUAUAUCUUAUUCCCCUUUUUGCUGUUUAUUUUUUAUAUCAUUCAUUUUAUGGAAUUCUGUGUUGGUCUGGAUGAGCCUCUUUGUCCCCAUAAAAGACUCACAAGUAAUUUGGUUGAUGUUGAUGUUAGAGGAAAAAAGUGGAUGAUGUGUGUUUGUAUUGUAGUAUAUUUAUAUUUGAUUAUACUAUAUGUUAUUUAUUUAUUUAAUUGUUUAAUUUGUUUAUUUUAUUUUAUUUUAUUUAUUUAUUUAUUUGGUUGGUUGGUUUGAAUUCGGAGUUUUCCUUCUCCUAGGAGGACUGCCUACCACGGCUAACGACCUCCUCCUGCCCGGGUUUGUGGUCAGAGUUGUCCUUCUCCUAGGUGAACUGCCUUACGCUAACGAGCUCCACCAGCCCGGGUUUGUAAUCGGAGUUUGCUCUCCUAGGUGAACUGCCUUACGCUAACGACCUCCACCAGCCCGGGUUUGUUGUUCGGAGUUUGCUCUCCUAGGUGAACUGCCUUACGCUAACGACCUCCACCAGCCCGGGUUUGUUGUUCGGAGUUUGCUCUCCUAGGUGAACUGCCUUACGCUAACGAGCUCCACCAGCCCGGGUUUGUUGUUCGGAGUUGUCCCUCUCCUAGGUGAACUGCCUACCACGGCUAACGAUCUCCACCUGUCCGGGUUUGUUGUUCGGAGUUUUCCUUCUCCUAGGAGGACUGCCUACCACGGCUAACGAUCUCCACCUGUCCGGGUUUGUUGUUCGGAGUUUUCCUUCUCCUAGGAGGACUGCCUACCACGGCUAACGACCCCCUCCUGCCCGGGUUUGUUGUCAGAGUUGUCCUUCUCCUAGGUGAACUGCCUUACGCUAACGACCUCCACCAGCCCGGGUUUGUAAUCGGAGUUUGCUCUCCUAGGUGAACUGCCUUACGCUAACGACCUCCACCAGCCCGGGUUUGUUGUUCGGAGUUUGCUCUCCUAGGUGAACUGCCUUGCGCUAACGAGCUCCACCAGCCCGGGUUUUUUGUUCGGAGUUGUCCCUCUCCUAGGUGAACUGCCUACCACGGCUAACGACCUCCACCUGUCCGGGUUUGUUGUUCGGAGUUUUCCUUCUCCUAGGAGGACUGCCUACCACGGCUAACGAUCUCCACCUGUCCGGGUUUGUUGUUCGGAGUUUUCCUUCUCCUAGGAGGACUGCCUACCACGGCUAACGAUCCCCUCCUGCCCGGGUUUGUGGUCAGAGUUGUCCUUCUCCUAGGUGAACUGCCUUACGCUAACGACCUCCACCAGCCCGGGUUUGUAAUCGGAGUUUGCUCUCCUAGGUGAACUGCCUUACGCUAACGAGCUCCACCAGCCCGGGUUUGUUGUUCGGAGUUUGCUCUCCUAGGUGAACUGCCUUACGCUUACGACCUCCACCAGCCCGGGUUUGUAAUCAGAGUUUGCUCUCCUAGGUGAACUGCCUUACGCUAACGAGCUCCACCAGCCCGUGUUUGUUGUUCGGAGUUGUCCCUCUCCUAGGUGAACUGCCUACCACGGCUGACGAUCUCCACCUGCCCGGGUUUGUUGUUCGGAGUUGUCCCUCUCCUAGGUGAACUGCCUACCACGGCUGACGAUCUCCACCUGCCCGGGUUUGUUGUUCGGAGUUGUCC
Molecule: long non-coding RNA, 2014 nt
Organism: Eriocheir sinensis (Chinese mitten crab)
Lineage: Eukaryota; Metazoa; Arthropoda; Malacostraca; Decapoda; Varunidae
Exons: 3
Source: RefSeq, a predicted model, not a curated record